AACGAACGCUGGCGGCGUGGAUAAGACAUGCAAGUCGAACGGGAUCAAGUUUGUAGCAAUACAAAUUUGGUCCAGUGGCAAACGGGUGCGUAACACGUGAGCAAUCUGCCGGGAAGUGGGGGAUAGCUCGCCGAAAGGCGAAUUAAUACCGCAUGUGGCCAGGAAGGACACCCUUCCACAGCCAAAGUCGCAAGACGCUUCCUGAUGAGCUCGCGGCCUAUCAGCUAGUUGGUGAGGUAACGGCUCACCAAGGCGAUGACGGGUAGCUGGUCUGAGAGGACGACCAGCCACACUGGAACUGAGACACGGUCCAGACACCUACGGGUGGCAGCAGUCGAGAAUUUUUCACAAUGGGGGAAACCCUGAUGGAGCGACGCCGCGUGGAGGACGAAAGGUCUUCGGAUUGUAAACUCCUGUCAUGCGGGAACAAGAAAGUGAUAGUACCGCAAGAGGAAGAGACGGCUAAACUCUGUGCCAGCAGCCGCGGUAAU
RNAcentral lists this ribosomal RNA (491 nucleotides) under uncultured bacterium. Its description in RNAcentral is "bacterial SSU rRNA". It matches the Rfam family "Bacterial small subunit ribosomal RNA", at positions 29 to 524 of the family's 1533-position model. The record is from RNAcentral.